UACGGAGGAUGCAAGUGUUAUCCGGAUUUAUUGGGUUUAAAGGGUGCGCAGGUUGUUUGAUAAGUCAGUGGUGAAAGUCUGUCGCUUAACGGUAGGAUUGCCAUUGAUACUGUUGGACUUGAAUAUGGAUGAGGUAGGCGGAAUGUGUAGUGUAGCGGUGAAAUGCAUAGAUAUUACACAGAACACCGAUUGCGAAGGCAGCUUACUAAUCCAUCAUUGACGCUGAGGCACGAAAGCGUGGGGAUCAAACA
This 251-nucleotide ribosomal RNA is filed under the name uncultured prokaryote. Its description in RNAcentral is "partial 16S ribosomal RNA". It matches the Rfam family "Bacterial small subunit ribosomal RNA", at positions 524 to 774 of the family's 1533-position model. The record is from RNAcentral.